Chinchilla lanigera (long-tailed chinchilla) is the source of this 874-nucleotide long non-coding RNA. RefSeq lists it as uncharacterized. NCBI's taxonomy places the organism in Eukaryota, Metazoa, Chordata, Mammalia, Rodentia, Chinchillidae. The transcript has 3 exons. The record is from RefSeq and is a predicted model, not a curated record.
CCUGCACAGCACAGUGAUUAAAUACACUGAUAGAAGUCUUUUUGAGACAAGGCCUCACUAGCCCUUCAGGUGCCUGUCACCUCCUUCCGAUGACAAGCCAGGGAGGCUGCAGGGACCUGGGCUCAGCCGCUCUCAUGCAGCUCUGUCAGUAUCCUCUGGUUAGUCAUUCUGCUGCAACUGUGCAGUCUCCGUGACCACAGCAGGCGCCACUCGGGGUGGGCACAGCCCCCAAGGUGUCUGUGUGACUUCAUCUGUCACCUCCUCAGUCACUGGCCACCCCUCCACCAACACGCUGCUCCUGUCCUACUUUACUGUUUUAUUAGUGUGGAUCAACACCUAAUAUGUUCUCAGGUGAACAAACUCAAUGAUACUACUUUAGGAAUGAAGUUUGAACAUAAUAUAUGUGUCACAACAGAUCAGAGAGAAAGUGGACUUGAACAGAGUGUGAUCUCACAACUCCUGCACGUGAUUUGAUGGCACUGCGUUCAGCAUGUGUAACAUCCACUGCUCAAGACUCCAUGUGUGGCCAUGUACCGGCGACCACAGGGACGCAGUCUCUCAGGCAGCAGGAUCUCCAGCUACUUCCUCUGCACGCUAUGACCUGGGAAGCAACCAUCUGGCCGUCUCCACCCAAAGACUCUAAGAAUUUCCAGAGAGCCCUGGCAGGCAGAGACUAUCUUCUGCCACAAGGGGAGUCCCAGGCUCCACAUCACCAGGGUGGACAAUUACGGAAAUCGUUCCUCAGUUGUGUAUAAUCUGCUGAUAAGCACAUGAAAAGCACUCUUCCUUUCUGUUUUGGUGUUUUUGACUUGUAGCAUUUCUUUUUGAUUCUUAAGACUUUCCAUCCUGCUUAAACCACCUGUUUUUUCUUGCA